CUUGGUCAUUUAGAGGAAGUAAAAGUCAUAACAAGGUUUCCGUAGGUGAACCUGCGGAAGGAUCAUUAAUAAUGCCCUCUGGCUUCGGUCAGCUGGGUUCAAUGUGUGUCAUCUCUUCGGAGAUGGCCAUCCACACACACCGUGAACUGUGACUUCGGUCAUCACAAACUUUUAGUAAUGAAUGUAAAAAUCAUAACAAAAUAAAACUUUUAACAACGGAUCUCUUGGCUCUCGCAUCGACGAAGAACGCAGCGAAAUGCGAUAAGUAAUGUGAAUUGCAGAAUUCAGUGAAUCAUCGAAUCUUUGAACGCACCUUGCGCCCUUUGGUAUUCCGAAGGGCAUGCCUGUUUGAGUGUCAUGAAACCUCACUCCACUUGGGUUUUUGCCUGAGUGGUAGUGUAUUGGGUGUUGCCUUGCCAAAGGCUCGCCUUAAAAGAAUAAGCACCUUGGAUGUAAUACGUUUCAUCCUUUCGGGUGGCUAAUAACCCCACAUAACUCAUGAUCUGGCCUCAAAUCAGGUAGGGCUACCCGCUGAACUUAAGCAUAUCAAUAAGCGGAGGAAAAGAAACUAACUAGGAUUCCCUUAGUAACGGCGAGUGAACCGGGAUGAGCUCAAAUUUGAAAUCUGGCGUCUUUCAGGCGUCCGAGUUGUAAUCUAUAGAGGCGUUUUCCGCGCCGGACCGCGUCCAAGUCUCUUGGAAUAGAGUAUCAAAGAGGGUGACAAUCCCGUACUUGACGCGACAACCGGUGCUCUGUGAUACGUUCUCAACGAGUCGAGUUGUUUGGGAAU
This 790-nucleotide small RNA is filed under the name uncultured Cryptococcus. RNAcentral's name for it is "eukaryotic LSU rRNA". The stretch from base 505 to 790 matches the Rfam family "Eukaryotic large subunit ribosomal RNA", at positions 1 to 281 of the family's 3401-position model. The record is from RNAcentral. Lineage: Eukaryota; Fungi; Basidiomycota; Tremellomycetes.